Molecule: ribosomal RNA, 523 nt
Filed under: uncultured archaeon
Lineage: Archaea
Description: bacterial SSU rRNA
Rfam family: Archaeal small subunit ribosomal RNA
Source: RNAcentral
CACGUAGUCAAUCUACCCUGAGGACGGGGAUAACCCCGGGAAACUGGGGAUAAACCCCGAUAGGUCAUAGCUUCUGGAAUGGGCUAUGGCUCAAAUCUAUAUGGCCUUAGGAUGGGACUGCGUCCGUUCAGGUUGUUGGUGGGGUAAUGGCCCACCAAGCCUAUAACCGGUACGGGCUCUGAGAGGAGGAGCCCGGAGAUGGGCACUGGGACAAGGGCCCUGGUCCUAUGGGGCGCAGCAGGCGCGAAACCUCCGCAAUGGGCGAAAGCCCGACGGGGUCAGUCCGAGUGGCUUCUGCUAAAGGAGUCUUUUGUCAGCUGUAAACAGGCUGGUGAAUAAGGGGUGGGCAAGCCUGGUGUCAGCCGCCGCGGUAAUACCAGCACCCCGAGUGGUCGGGAUGAUUAUUGGGCCUAAAGCAUCCGUAGCCGGUGUAGUAAGUCCUCCGUUAAAUCCACCUGCUCAACAGGUGGGCUGCGGAGGAUACUGCUACACUAGGANGCGGGAGAGGCGANGGGUAUUCCAC